ACAAGUGAUGGCUUCUAACAAGAAACGCAACCGAGAAAGGUAUUGUGUUUGUUACAAAAUACUCCCGUCAGACUCACUUAGAGGGCCAAAGUGGUUCAGAUGUGAGGUUAAAUUACACCUGGAAUCCAAGCGUUGAAUAUGCUGGCCAAGAUCGUUCAUCCUUCAGUCGGCUUCAGCCAAAGGUAAAGAGACAGCGUCGUGAUGCCAGCGGCUCCAUUCGUCAACAAAAUGCAAGUGAGUUGUCGUCGUGCUGCGGCCGUCGUCACAAUGUUCAGCUCGUGUCCGCCACUCCCGAGACGAAGGGUUGCGGCGCCUCUUGGUGAGUGGCGUAAACUUGACCCUGAACGUAACCCUGACCAUCACUUUCCUCGUCCUCGUGCACCGUUGGAGGGGGCGGGGGUGCGGCUGAGCGUUCACCCCGGCACGCAGCGACUCCCUUCUUUCCUUUACCCUGGCCGGAGAGCUCCAGCAUAAAGGACAGCCAUGAACAUGGGACCCAAUAUAUUUUUGCUGACUGCUCUCUUUGCAGCUACUUAUGCAGGGACUUUGGACAAGCCAGCCCUGAGGUCAGGACGCACCGCAAAAAUCAAUAGAGAGUGGCGACAGUCUCCCGGAAGAGGCACAUUCUCAACAGCUGGGACAGCUGCUGGCAACAGCCUUAUCAAGCCACGCCAGCUGUCUUGCACAGAAGAAGGCUUUUUUCCCCUACCAGGCU
Molecule: long non-coding RNA, 715 nt
Organism: Eriocheir sinensis (Chinese mitten crab)
Lineage: Eukaryota; Metazoa; Arthropoda; Malacostraca; Decapoda; Varunidae
Exons: 5
Source: RefSeq, a predicted model, not a curated record